GAGAUAAAAACCAAAGGGGAAGCUUCUAACUUACCCCUAUAGCAGUGAAACUCUGUUAAUAUCUCU
RNAcentral lists this transfer RNA (66 nucleotides) under Trogoderma granarium. RNAcentral describes it as "tRNA-Ser". The record is from RNAcentral. Lineage: Eukaryota; Metazoa; Arthropoda; Insecta; Coleoptera; Dermestidae.